Molecule: long non-coding RNA, 1156 nt
Organism: Cyanistes caeruleus (blue tit)
Lineage: Eukaryota; Metazoa; Chordata; Aves; Passeriformes; Paridae
Source: RefSeq, a predicted model, not a curated record
GAAUGUUAUACCACAAGCAGAGAAAAUGCUUUGUUAUCCCUAUUUAACCCUUAAAUGUCCCAAUGUAGGAUGGAUGCACGUGAGAUCUGUUCCAGUAGAGUAAUUUAAGGGUGCAACCAUGGGGAGAGAAAGACUGAUGGUUCCUGUUCUCAUCUGGCACUUAACAAACCAUCAUUUAAAUCUUUGAUCAGUCACUGAUCUGAGAGAAGUCCCUUUUGUCUUUGCCAUCACCAGCAUGUGGUGUCUUAGAGGAGCUGGAAUCUGUUUCUUGGAUGCCUUGAGUAUGAACAGAGCUGUCCAGAAAGCCAAAAGCAGCCUGACAGACAAACAAGGAAAUAUUCAGGGAACUUUGAAGGUGCUGAAAAGCAAAGUUAUUCCAGAUAAGCUCUGGAACAUACUGCCAUGAGAUAAUACCAGGACCAGAUGCUGGUUGGGAUUAAAAAAUAUGUAGAUAUGUUGAUAAUGGGAAUAUCUGCUCUCAUAUUACCCAGUUUUUCUUUUUUAAGGGAUGUUAAUCCUGAUGCUUUAAAGGCAUAUGCUGAAUCCUGAGGAUAUAGUUAUUUAAGGAGCACUUUGCUGGUAAAUAAGGGGAGGAUUAGUGCCUGGAUGGUGGCCUAGCUGGAGGGAUCUCAAGAUUGGGAAGGCUGUAGAUGUGAGACAAUACCUACAUAUCUGAUCCCUGCUGAGUGUCCUCACACUUGCCAGGAGGGAUGAACUUUGUUUAGUGUGCCCUUGCCAAAAGCCUAAGGAAGCACAAGCACAGGAUAGAACCAUAGAAUUGUUAUGGAUGUAAAAGACCUCCAGGGUCACUGGGUCCAGCUGUUCACCCAUGCUGUGUUCACCACUAAGCCACGUCCUCACAUCCACGUGCCUUUUGGACACUUCCAGGGAUGGUGAUUCCAGCACUUCCCUGGGCAGCCUGUUCCAAUGAUGAUGUGCAGGCCACUGCACAGACCUAGAGUCCUGAGUGACAUAGUCAGACCCCUCUUGUAUCAGGGAGGAGCUGUGAUUGUGAAAUGCUGUGAUUGGUGGUAGUGAGGGUCUAAACUGUGAUGUGUUGGAGUGAACACACCAUCAGCUUUGAAAACAUCUUUCUAUCCCCCAUGCUUCCCAUGAUGCUUGGGAUGAUUAAAUUGAAUUUUGGUGGAAGAGAAAA